CUACGGGCGGCUGCAGUUAGGGAUAUUCGGCAAUGGGGGAAACCCUGACCGAGCAAUGCCGCGUGAAUGAAGAAGUAUUUCGAUAUGUAAAGUUCUGUUGUUAAGGAAGAAAGGUACGAAUAGGAAAUGAUUCGUAAUUGACGGUACUUAACCAGAAAGCCCCUGCUAACUACGUGCCAGCAGCAGCAGUAAUACGUAGGGGGCGGGCGUUAUCCGGAAUUAUUGGGCGUAAAGGGUGCGUAGGCGGCCUGUCAAGUCCGAGUUGAAAGCCCACGGCUUAACCGUGGAGGGUGCUCGGAAACUGAUAGGCUUGAAUCCAGAAGCGGCAAGUGGAAUUCUAGGUGGAGCGGUGGAAUGCGUAGAUAUAUGGAGGAACACCAGUGGCGAAGGCGGCUUGCUGGGCUGGUAUUGACGCUGAUGCACGAAAGCGUGGGGAGCAAACAGGAUUAGAUACCCCGGUAGUC
RNAcentral lists this ribosomal RNA (464 nucleotides) under uncultured bacterium. RNAcentral describes it as "partial 16S ribosomal RNA". It matches the Rfam family "Bacterial small subunit ribosomal RNA", at positions 339 to 795 of the family's 1533-position model. The record is from RNAcentral.